UUUGACAAUGUGCGCCCUUGAUUAGAUUAGAUUAGUAAUAUUGUAAAUCCAAUUUUGGUAUAGGAUUGUAUUACAAUGUGCUUAAAUGGUUAUUUAUGUAUGAACAGUUAACAAUGUGCACCCUUUAAUUGUAUGUGGAAUUCAAAAUUGAUGAGUCAAGAUGCAAAAUAUUCUGUAAGUUAGGCUCUGCUUCACCACCAUCACGAUUAAGCACCUCAACAAGGAAUUGGAAAUGGUUCUUGUGACUAUGCCUAGUAAGAAUGUUUACCUUUCAUAUUGUUGUCUCUAUGUUUACAUCAAAGACGGAAAUUUGUGUCAAAAUAUUUGUAUCAUUCACUUACCAAUGCAUCUAGUGCACUUAACAGUUUUAACAUCACCAACUGAAUUCUAUGACUUAGUUAGUUAGCACCCAUCUUAGUUUCAUUCGCCUAGCUCCAUGACUAAUGCCUUUGUUUGUUAUAGCUUAGAGCCAAAUCAGCAUGCAGCUUUUAUAAUAUAUGCUUUUGUUCUUGGCCUAUAUAGUACUUAUUCCUAGUUAUAUUAGAUUGAUAUUUGAAUAGUGCUAGUUUUUGGACUAUUAUGCCAUGGUUCCACACUUUGUGCUGUAUACAUGAAAAUGAACUUAUGGAACAAACUAGUGAUGACAAAGAGAUUAGACAGUAAUUUGCUACUGUACACUGGACUUAUUGUGUGUGUAAUUCUGAAUGACUAAUUUUUGUCAUGUUCUCCCACUGGACUUAUUUGAAAUCAUUUUUCUUUUGAAUAUAUGUCUGGUUAAUAGAUUAAUAAUUCUGCCAAUCGCUAAAAAUGAACUAGCGUUCAUCAUGACUGCUAAUUCAAUGUCAAUUUUGUUAUAUCAUUGUAUAAUAAUCUACUUAAAUAUCAUGCUUGAAUGUGAAUUAUGUCAGAAUUAACAAAUGAAGAACACGAACAGUGCUAUGAAAUGGCCAAGAUCAUGCUGAAGGUCGCGAUUGCACCAAAGGCUAUUUUAAACACCGUUAACGCCACGGAUGGGUCAUCUUCAUUUUGAUUUAAUUAACAUAUCAUUAUUCUGUUAUUUUGUGCAACUAACCAACCUAUUUGUCUCAUUCUAAUGGUUUAUUUAUUUCAAAUGUAGAUUUACGGUGAAGUUAGUAGGUCAUUUGUUGUGAGGUGGAAAGACAUAUUUGACCGUUUAUGGCAUUUCGUUGACAAGGAUGGAAAUUUCCAUAUCGUUGUCUACAACCAAGAUUUGGACAAACCAGCCAUUAUAUUAGGGUGAACAAGACUAAGAGAUUUCUAUCACCUGAUCGGAGAUCAUCAAGUGUUGUUAACUCAUUAUUCAAGAGCAAUAGCCAUCCAAAAUCAUUCCCAAGAUGACACUCAUUAUACAAUCAAGUGCCAAAUUCUGUCACUUUCAAGGUGUAUCUCACUCUGCACAAAAUUACUUGCAGCAACCUGGACAUUUUAAGCACGAUGUAUUAUUUUCUUAAAGACAAAGACUGGUCUCAUUUGAAUUUAGAGGACAUUGCAGAAUGUCGGAUUAUGUCGAUCACUAGAGAAAGACAACUAAAAUUGGAGCUGAAUGGAAAUAUUUUUGUGAAACUCAAUCCUUCAAAGCUGGCACGGAAAUUGUCUUCGAAUUCCCUGAUCCAACAGUUAACCAUGUUUUAUUUUGCCCAUGUUUAUGAAUUAAAUUUAACAUUAUUAGGACUUGGAACAUUAUUCCUUUUAAUUAUUAGGAAUUCUUUAACUAUGCUUUUGCUACAAA
Long non-coding RNA from Glycine soja, 1750 nucleotides. RefSeq lists it as uncharacterized. The transcript is spliced from 2 exons. The record is from RefSeq and is a predicted model, not a curated record. NCBI's taxonomy places the organism in Eukaryota, Viridiplantae, Streptophyta, Magnoliopsida, Fabales, Fabaceae.